ACGAACGCUGGCGGCGUGCUUAACACAUGCAAGUCGAACGGAAAGGCCCUGCUUUUGUGGGGUGCUCGAGUGGCGAACGGGUGAGUAACACGUGAGUAACCUGCCCUUGACUUUGGGAUAACUUCAGGAAACUGGGGCUAAUACCGGAUAGGAGCUCCUGCUGCUUGGUGGGGGUUGGAAAGUUUCGGCGGUUGGGGAUGGACUCGCGGCUUAUCAGCUUGUUGGUGGGGUAGUGGCUUACCGAGGCUUUGACGGGUAGCCGGCCUGAGAGGGUGACCGGCCACAUUGGGACUGGGAUACGGCCCAGACUCCUACGGGAGACAGCAGUGGGGAAUAUUGCACAAUGGGCGGAGGCCUGAUGCAGCAACGCCGCGUGCGGGAUAACGGCCUUCGGGUUGUAAACCGCUUUCGCCUGUGACGAAGCGUGAGUGACGGUAAUGGGUAAAGAAGCACCGGCUAACUACGUG
RNAcentral lists this ribosomal RNA (467 nucleotides) under uncultured bacterium. RNAcentral describes it as "partial 16S ribosomal RNA". It matches the Rfam family "Bacterial small subunit ribosomal RNA", at positions 29 to 507 of the family's 1533-position model. The record is from RNAcentral.